CCUACGGGCGGCAGCAGUGGGGGAUAUUGGACAAUGGGGGGAACCCUGAUCCAGCGACGCCGCGUGAGUGAAGAAGUAUUUCGGUAUGUAAAGCCCUGUUAGCCGGGAAGAAAGAACUGACGGUACCUGACCAAGAAGCCUCGGCUAACUACGUGCCAGCAGUCGCCGCAAUACGGAGGGGGCAAGCGUUCACCGGAAUUACUGGGUGUAAAGGGGGCGUAGACGGUUAAGUAAGUCUGGAGUGAAAGGCCGGGGCUCAACCCCGGGACUGGUGUGGAAACUACUGAACUUGAGUGCAGGAGAGGUAAGCGGAAUGCCUGGUGUAGCGGUGAAAUGCGUAGAUAUUAGGAGGAACACCAGUGGCGAAGGCAGCUUACUGGACUGUAACUGACGUUGAGGCUCGAAAGCGUGGGGAGCAAACAGGAUUAGAUACCCGUGUAGUC
RNAcentral lists this ribosomal RNA (443 nucleotides) under uncultured bacterium. RNAcentral's name for it is "partial 16S ribosomal RNA". It matches the Rfam family "Bacterial small subunit ribosomal RNA", at positions 338 to 795 of the family's 1533-position model. The record is from RNAcentral.